GACGAACCGUGCGAACGUUGUUCGGAAUCACUGGGCUUAAAGGGCGCGUAGGCGGGCGACCAAGUCAGGGGUGAAAUCCUCCGGCUCAACCGGAGAAUAGCCUUUGAUACUGGUCACCUCGAGGGAGGUAGGGGCAUGUGGAACUUCCGGUGGAGCGGUGAAAUGCGUAGAUAUCGGAAGGAACGCCGGUGGCGAAAGCGACGUGCUGGACCUCUUCUGACGCUGAGGCGCGAAAGCUAGGGGAGCAAACGGG
RNAcentral lists this ribosomal RNA (253 nucleotides) under uncultured bacterium. RNAcentral describes it as "partial 16S ribosomal RNA". It matches the Rfam family "Bacterial small subunit ribosomal RNA", at positions 524 to 776 of the family's 1533-position model. The record is from RNAcentral.